RNAcentral lists this ribosomal RNA (541 nucleotides) under Enterobacter sp. Its description in RNAcentral is "bacterial SSU rRNA". It matches the Rfam family "Bacterial small subunit ribosomal RNA", at positions 90 to 627 of the family's 1533-position model. The record is from RNAcentral. Lineage: Bacteria; Pseudomonadati; Pseudomonadota; Gammaproteobacteria; Enterobacterales; Enterobacteriaceae.
GGCGAGCGGCGGAGGGGUGAGUAGUGUCUGGGAAACUGCCUGAUGGAGGGGGAUAACUAGUGGAAACGGUAUCUAAUACCGCAUAACGUCGCAAGACCAAAGAGGGGGACCUUCGGCCCUCUUGCCCUCAUAUGUGCCCAGAUGGGAUUAUCUAAUAGGUGGGGUAACGGCUCCCCUAGGCCACUAUCCCUAUCUGGUCUGAGAAGAUGACCACCCACUGUGGAACUGACACGCGGCCCACACUCCUACGGGAGGCAACAGUGGGGAAUAUUGCACAGUGGGCGCAACCCUGAUGCACCCGUGCCGCGUGUAUAAAAAAGGCCUUCGGUUUGUAAAGUAUUUUCCGCGGGGAAGAAGGCGAUGGGGUUAAUACCCUUGUCUAUUGACUUUACCCGCAAAAGAAGCCCCGGCUAUCUCCGUGCCAGCACCCGCGGUAAUACGGAGGGUGCACGCGUUACUCGGAUUUACUGGGCGUAAAGCGCACGCACGCGCUCUGUCAAGUCAGAUGUGAUCUCCCCGGUCUCACUCUGAGAACUGCUUU